This 468-nucleotide ribosomal RNA is filed under the name uncultured bacterium. Its description in RNAcentral is "partial 16S ribosomal RNA". It matches the Rfam family "Bacterial small subunit ribosomal RNA", at positions 28 to 507 of the family's 1533-position model. The record is from RNAcentral.
GACGAACGCUGGCGGCGUGCUUAACACAUGCAAGUCGAACGGAGAGGCCCGGCUUUUGUGGGAUUCUCGAGUGCCGAAAGGGUGAGUAACACGUGAGUGGCCUGCCCUUGACUGUGGGAUACCUUCAGUAAACUGGGGCGAAUACCCGAUAUGACCUCCUUCUGCAUGGUUGGUGUGGGAGAGUGUCGGCGUUUGGGGAUGGACUCGAGGAUUAUCAGCGUAUUGGUGGGGUAGUGGAUUACCCAGGCUUUGACGGGUAGCCGGACUGAGAGGGUGACCGGCCACAUUGGGACUGAGAUAGCGGCAAGACUGAUACGGGAGGCAGCAGCGGGGAAUAUUGCAAAAUGGGCGGAAGGCUGAUGGAGCAACGCCGCGUGGGGGAUGACGGUCUGUGGGUUGUAACCUGCUUUAGCCUGUGAAGAAGAGUGAGUGACGGUAAUGGGUAAAGAAGCAACGGCUAACUACGUG